CGCGCACAAGUUCAGGUCUGGUGAGCGAGAAAAGGCAAAACGAAUGUGUACGAACGGCAAACAGUCAGUCGACGGUCUGACUGGCGGCAUUGGCAUACCGCGGCGGACUUGCUGCACGCUUUUCAACACCCGGUAAGCAGAACAGCGAGGAGGAGGGGAGCAAGUAAACAAGGAGAGUAAAAAUACUAGCAUUCACAUUCAGCGCAAUCGAAAGCCUGCCUUGCAAGUUAAAACAACUAGUUGAGAUUCAAGUACGGACUGAUGUAACGGAAAGUAGGAGAAUGUUUCACAUGGCAGGGAAAGAGAGAGACUUAUAUGAGUCCUGUAGUAACUAAUUAAUUACACAAGUAACGGGGAAUAUGCUAUUGAUUAAAUAACUUCAUUCUAAAACAUGUUCCAGGCGUUAAAAGUGAUUAAAUUUAUCUCUCGUAUGAAUAUUUAUACUGAAAAAUAAUUAAAUUCGAAGAAAUAAAAAGGAAAUAAAUUGUUUAUCUUA
This is a long non-coding RNA of Dalotia coriaria, 496 nucleotides long. RefSeq lists it as uncharacterized. Lineage: Eukaryota; Metazoa; Arthropoda; Insecta; Coleoptera; Staphylinidae. The transcript has 2 exons. The record is from RefSeq and is a predicted model, not a curated record.